RNAcentral lists this ribosomal RNA (429 nucleotides) under Bacteroidota bacterium. RNAcentral describes it as "Bacteroidetes bacterium partial 16S ribosomal RNA". It matches the Rfam family "Bacterial small subunit ribosomal RNA", at positions 355 to 776 of the family's 1533-position model. The record is from RNAcentral. Lineage: Bacteria; Pseudomonadati; Bacteroidota.
UAGGGAAUCUUCGGCAAUGGGGGGAACCCUGACCGAGCAACGCCGCGUGAGUGAAGAAGGUUUUCGGAUCGUAAAGCUCUGUUGUUAAGGAAGAACGAGUGUGAGAAUGGAAAGUUCAUGCUGUGACGGUACUUAACCAGAAAGGGACGGCUAACUACGUGCCAGCAGCCGCGGUACUACGUAGGUCCCGAGCGUUGUCCGGAUUUAUUGGGCGUAAAGCGAGCGCAGGCGGUUAGAAAAGUCUGAAGUGAAAGGCAGUGGCUCAACCAUUGUAGGCUUUGGAAACUGUUUAACUUGAGUGCAGAAGGGGAGAGUGGAAUUCCAUGUGUAGCGGUGAAAUGCGUAGAUAUAUGGAGGAACACCGGUGGCGAAAGCGGCUCUCUGGUCUGUAACUGACGCUGAGGCUCGAAAGCGUGGGGAGCGAACAGG